Molecule: long non-coding RNA, 11556 nt
Filed under: Zostera marina
Lineage: Eukaryota; Viridiplantae; Streptophyta; Magnoliopsida; Alismatales; Zosteraceae
Description: long non-coding RNA (ZMAR_LNC004582)
Source: RNAcentral
GGAUUUUCAAAAGUAAAAUCAAUCAACAAAAGUCAUUAUAGUCAAUACAAACUAAAGUAUUUAUAUGACUCUAUUACAAUAACUAAUCCUCACAACUAACUAUUGUAUUAAGAGUCACUAAUACACCUCUAAUGAUAAUUAGUGUAAGUUUGAUAAUGAGCAUAUUUGUGUCUUAACACCCCUCCUCAAAUCAUGCUUAUUAUCAUCUUACUGGGGUAUAUGAAAUAAAUUGUUGAAAUAUCCUAUUGAGAACUUGUGAUGCAAAGACUUGAAAAUUUAAGUUCCAAUGUUGAUGAAUUGUAAAAAGAUGGGAUUAAAAAUCCAGUGGUUGGUUGUUCUAGGAAAACCCUCUCUUCAAUUAAUACAUUGAUUCAUCACUCAAUGAAAACUUAUCCUUCAUCAUUUCAUGCCAAGUUCUGGAUUUUGCUUGAGCUAAUCAUAAUCUGAAAAAAACAAGCAUAGUGCAGUAUCAAAGAACAAUCGAUAUUAUUUAUCAACAAAACCAAUCUAUAUAUUCUGAAACUUUUCUUAUUAUCUGAAAUUGAUCGUAAUGUAGAAAUAAGAAAAUCUGAUAUAAUUCAGCAAACAGUAGAGCAGAAUUAUGAGACAAAGUGAAAAAGAAAUAACAAAAAUAACAAACAUUCAUAUCUCAUUCCAAUUGUUAAUUUUAAAAAUGACACACAUUGUUAAUUUUAGUAAACUCUAUCUCACACAUCUUAUCUGUGUAUUACCUAACCUUGUACAAAUUCUACACUAGUAUAGGCAGAAGCUGAGCAUUGAAGAACUUCUGCAAUUUAGAAGGAAGAAACAUGACUAACACCUAUAAACUAAAAUUAAUCUUGAGUUUUUUACCUAAUCUUACAUAAAUGUUAGAAGUCACAACUUUGGUAAACAAAUCAGCCAACUGAAAUGAGAAACAUAUAUGUUUUAACUGAAGUUGGUUCUUAGUGAUCAAUUCUCUAACAAAGUGUAUUUCAGUUUCAAUAUGUUGACCUCUGUUUGAUCACCGGAUGAUUUUCCAUAAACAUGGCUGAAAUAUUAUCACAUAAUAUCAAAGGAACAUGAUCUAUUUGAUACCUUAAAUUUCUACAUAUAAAUGUAGACCAUCUGAUCUCAGUAGCUAGUGAAGCCAGAGCGCUCUAUACUCUGAUUCAAUGCUUGAUCUAGAAACUAUAGAUUGUUUCUUUGAUGACCAAGUGUAUAGGUUUCCACCUAUGUAUAGGCACAAUCCAGUUGUGGAUUUCCUUGUGUCUGGAUCACCUGCAUCACAAUAUCUAUGAAUUUUAUUAAAAUUCAAAUUUUUAGUGAAUAUUAGACCAUGGCUCAAAGUUUCCUUGAUGUAUUUAAGAAUUCUCUCGGCUGCAAUAAAAUGAGAAGACCUAGGUUCUUGCACAAACUGUGCAACCUGGUUUAUUGCAUAUACCAAGUCUGGUCUCAUUUGAGCUAAGUAUUGUAGAGAACCAACUAAUGCCCUGUAAAACAUUACAUCUUGCAAAAGUACUCCUUCAUUUUUGAUUAGUUUAGAGUCUGGACUAAUGAGAGUUCUACUGGGCUUUCACUGUAACAUAUUAUUUUUACUUUAACAUAUCCAGAGCAUAUCUGCGUUGACUCAUGCUAAUUGAACCAUCAAAAUUAUCCAUUAAUCUUCAAGUCUGAUUUUUUCAAUUGCUUUAUAAAUUUUAAUAGUUUGAUAAUGAAUAAAUUCAAUUGCAAAAUGAAAUGUUUUCAAAGUGAUAAUGAAACUGAGUUUAUAAACAAAAAUAUUUCUGAUUUUCUUAACAAAAAUGGAAUUAUAUAUAAUCUGUCUUGUCCAUACACCCCUCAGCAGAUGGGCAUUGCUGAACGAAGGAAUAUUAGACAUAUUAUAGAAUAAGGUCUUUCUACAAUGCAACAAUCAAAAGUGCCAUAAAUUUUUUGGGUUGAGGCAUUUAAUCACUCAAUAAAUAUAAUAAAUAACUUGUCAUCUAACUCCACAUGAAUGCUUGUAUAAUAAAACAAUAGAUUUUAACAUGUUAAAAAAAUUUGGAUGUCUUUGCUACCCUAAUCUUAGGUGUACGUAUUGCAAAACAUAAGUUAGAACCAAGGUCACUUCCUUGUAUUUUCCUAGGACUUAGCAAGAAAUAUAAAGGUUUUAAAUACUAUCAUGUUAGUACUGGAAAGACCUUAUCAUUUUUAAUAAGAAUUGCUUUCUAUAUAAAGAUGUUGUCCCUAAUGGUAUUAUUUUAGGAGAAUUAACCACAUUUACUGACUGGUUUAAUCAUAGUAAAAAUAAUAAAAUAAGUACUGAUAUAAAUACAGAAAAAUGUAAAACAGAGGUAGAAGAAGAAAAUAUUUUUAAUGAAGAUUGUAUUUUAAUUAUAAGCUCAAGAGAACAUGUCUAUACUGAUAUUGUAUCAGAAACAGAAAAUAUAAUUUCUGAUACAUCUGGCUCAGGAAAUCAGUCUAUUGAGACAUACAUAAUAAUCAAGAUAUAGGAAUCUUAGAGAAUAAUGAAAAUAAUAAUGUGCUUGAAAAUAUUUCAUCUGAUAUAGAACAAAAUGAGGAUAUUAGUGUAAAAAACAACGGAACUAGUAUAAUUGAGAGCACUUCUUAUGAUAAAGUAUAUUCAACAUCUUCAACAGAAAAUAUCAAUCCUAGUAGUAGGUAUUGAAAAUGGUCAUAAAAUGGUGACUAGAAGGAAGAUAGGAACAUUUAAGCUCAACACUAAGUAUGCUCUGAGUAUAAAUAAACUUUCAGAAAUACCUAAAACUGUAAAAUCUGCAAUUAAAGAUGAAAAUUGGGUAAAAGAAAUACAAAGUGAAGUAGACUCUCUAGAAGAGAAUAGGACAUGGUCUCUUGUACCAAGACCAAAAAAAUGAAAAUAUUAUAGGUUGCAAGUGGGUAUUUAACAAUCCUAACCAUAACCCUAAAUAUAUUUCACAAUCCUACUUUAUAUAGAUGUUUAGUAGGGAAACUACAAUACUUAACUCUAACAAGGCCUGAUAUCACCUUUCCAGUAAAUGUGGCAUCUAACUUUAUGACCACACCUACUGAGGAGUGGUGGGGCCACUUUGUUGUUUGACGUGAGUGGUGGGGGCAUCUCAACAUCUUGUGCUUCCAGUGGUGUUUCAGUGGAUGGUGUAGUACUGGGACCAAUUCUCAUGCCAACAGUUGCUGUCUCAAUGACGGUGGCAACAAAAGCCACAACUUUCUUACUUUUCGUAACAAGAGCCAUGGAAACCGAACUAGUCGAAUAUGAUUCGACCGUAUUGAGCGAAUAGUAUGAAUCUAUGGCUUCACGAAGAAACCGACGAUUGCACAAAGUGAUUUAACGAAGUCAGCAAAAAACCAAGCAAAAAAUCGGUCAGAGCCUACAACGGUUUAGCAGGGAAUUUUGGUAGAAUUUAGCAGUCAACACCUACAACGAUAGAUAACUUCUGAAAAAUUGGCGAUUUUGAAAAAAAAAUCGACGAUCUUAAAAGGAAAGUGACGAGUCUGAUUUCCCCAGAGACGGCACGAUUUGAUGAGGACCGAAUAAUCGUACCAACACUCGCGGUGGUGUGAGCAAUCGUCUUUUCGUACCGGAGGCUCUAAACUCUACAAAAUUAAAGCCGCUCUAUGUCAAGUCUUCAGGGGAUUUGGGUAUCAAAUCGACGAUUUACUCCGUAAAAGUCACUCUGGAAAGUGUGGAACUGAUGCCUUAGAUAUUCUCUGGGAGUCUCCUUUUAAGGAGACUCGGGAGGCGUCAUCUGCGGCGAAGAUCACACCCAGGUCAUAGUGACAACCAUUAUGAUCGACGUCCAGGUUGGAUGCAAAUAACGCUCCAAAAUCGGUGAUUUGGCGUCAAAUCGGCGAGUUGAGGGAGAAAUCGCCAAGUUCCCAGACUCCAGCGAUCUUCUCUCAAAAUCGGCAAUUUACCUGAUCCAAUCGGUAUUCGAGAUGUUGACUUGGGUCUCGACGAAAACUUUCAGUUCCGCUUCCAUGGGGACCUUUCAAGGGUCCAACAUAAAGUGAAUGGAACCUUAGUUCAUGUUGAUGAGAAGGAUCGGUGUACAAUCCUGUAUCAUCAAUGUUUCCCCCGAAAUAGAGGCAUGUGAGAGGACGUGUACCGCCAGGUUAGGACACUUACGACAAAAUUAGUCAAACACUAAGAUUUAGGAUUAUAGUUAUGGUUAUGGUUAUUAGAGUUAGGGUUAUUAGAGUUAGGUCUAUUAGUGUUAGGGUUAUUAGAGUUAGGGCUAUUAGUGGUAGGGUUAUUAGGAUUAUGGUUAGUGUUAUUAGAACUAUGGUUAGAGUUAAGUUUAUUGUUAUUGGGGUUAGGAUUAGUGUUACUAGAGUUAUAUUUAGAGUUAAGGGGUUAGUGUUAUAAAAGUUAGGGUUAUUAGAGUUAUGGUUAGUGUUAUUAGAGUUAUGGUUAGUUAUAUUAGAGUUAGGGCUGUUAGUGUUAUGGUUAUGGUUAGUGUUAUUAGAGUUAUGGUUAUAAGAGUUAAGGUUAUUAUUAUUAGGGUUAGGGUUAGUAUUAUUAGAGUUAGAGUUGUUAGUGUUAGGAUUAUUAGGGUUAUGGUUAGUGUUAUUAGAGUUAUGGUUAUAAGAGUUAAGUUUAUUGUUAUUGUUAUUGGGGUUAGGAUUAGUGUUAUUAGAGUGAUAGAGUUAAGGUUAUUGUUAGUGUUAUUGGGGUUAGGGUUAUUAGAGUUAUGGUUAGUGUUAUUAGUGUUAGGGAUGUUAGUGUUAGAGUUAUUAGGGUUAUGUUUAGUGUUAUUUGAGUUAUGGUUAUAAGAGUUAAGGUUAUUGUUAUUAGGGUUAGGGUUAGCUAAAGAUAGAUUAUUAGGGUUAAGAUUUUUUUUCUCAAAUAUUUUGGUUAACGAUGCUUUGAUGAGAUAUAUCUUGCAUAUGGAAAAUAGAUAAGUACUAAGCUGAAAAUAAAAGAUAGAAAAUAGAAAUAAAAUUAGAAUAACAGUAAAUCUAACAAAAAUAUGAAACAAUAAAUAUACAAAUUUAAAAUAGAAUAACUAAAUAUAACAAAUUAGAUUUUCAAAAAGUAAAUAGUCCUAACCGACUAACCCUAACAAAUUGUAUUUAUAUUAUAGGGUUCUUGUUAAUUUGCGAACCGGGCUAUCAGGCCUAAUUGGUUCUCAAUCUAGUUUAUUUGGGCCUAGGUACCAUUAGUUAUUCUUUCACAGAAUACAUUUCAAUUAAGGUUCAAUUAGCAGAUAUAUUUACAAAACCUUUAGACACUGAAGGAUUUUGCAAAAUACAAAGAUUAUUAGAAAUUUUCGAUUCACUAAUCUUUGACCACGGUAUUUUAAGUUACAUACAUAUAUUGGUAUUAAAGUUAGUGUUAUUAUGGUUAGGGUUAAGGUUAUUGUCAGUGUUAUUAGAAAUAGGGUUAUGAUUAUUAGGGUUAAGAUUUUUCUUAUUUUUCUCAAAUAUUUUGGUUGAUUCUUUGAUAAGAUAGAUCUUUCAUGUGGAAAAUAGAUAAACAUUAAAUAUGUAUUUCGGAUGGAUUUGGCUCGGAUACCCUGGUAUCCGAAUUCGGAUAAUAUCCGAAUAAUCCGAAUUCGUCUAAAUAAUAUCCAGAUAGGAAAAUCCAAAUCCAAAUUCGGAUAAAUUUCUGGAUAUCUGAAAAAUCCAAAUCCAAAUAACUUUUUAUGAAAAACCUUAAAAUAUCUUAAAAUAAAACUACAUGAUGGUUUGGUAUCAAAUAAAUACAAGACAAUCUCUCUCUAUUAUAGUAUCUCUCCUAUUACAAAUGUCUCUCCCUUUUUAUGUUCAACCCGUAGGGAUAUUUAUACACAUUCCUACUAAGUUGGGCCUUCUUUUUUCUCUUUGGACCUGAUCCAACGGGUCUGACCCAUCGGGGCAAAUGGGUCUGCACGGCCCGUUAAGUGAAGUGGGCUUGCUGGUCUUUGUCUGGGGUGGGUCUAGUCUGAUGGACCAGGGGUAUCAUCAGUAUCAAAGUAUAAUAUCACCGGCCCUUAAUAAAGUAUAAUCGUCAAUUAAUCACCGUAAAAUUCGGAUAAUUCGAAAGUCAGUUUAUAUUUAUUCAGAUAUCCGUAUUUAAAAUUAUCAACCGAAUUCGAAUCUUAACGGAAGAUAUUGUAGAUAUCCAAAUAUGUUCGGAUAAUUUUCAGAUAUCAUUUUUGGUAUCAGAAUCUGGAUUUGAAAUCCGAAAAUCCGAAUAGACAUAUUCGAAUUCGAAAACGGAUAAAAAUAUAGAAAUAUGACUAUUUACGGGCCUAAUACGUACUAAGUCGGAAAUAAAAUAUAGAAAAUAACAAAUAAAAAUAGAACAACCGUAAAUCUAAACAAAAAUUUGAAACAAUAAAUAUAGAAAUUUAAAGUAUAUCACAAUGUAAAUAUGACUAAGUAGAUUUUCAAAAAGUAAAUAGACAAUCAACAAUUUAAAAACAAGGAAAUUAUAUAUAGAUUUAAAAUAUAUUUAACCAGUAAAUAGAUAACAACAAGGAGAAUAAAUUUAAAAUAGUAAACAGUAAGGAGAAGAAAACGAAAAUAGAAAAAGAAGAGAAAAUAGAUGAACAUAAAAAGAAAAAGAAGAUAAAAAUAGACGAACAAUAUAAGAACAAGAAAAAAAACUGGUCAUCCUUACCUUAGAUAACGGCGACGGCGGGCGAUUUGAGGGCAACUAAGACGAUAUUUUUCGAAACCCACCCUGAAAACAUGAAUUUCAUCCUGUCGAUAAAACCCCUAAAUUUUCGUGGCGAAAAUCCAUCACUAAAGAUGCAUCAGGUAGUGGUGGGCAUUCGUGUCAAAUACAACACGACACGAAAAGAUUCACAAUAGCGUUAGCCAAAGGCUAUCAAAUUUUUUUGAAUGAACUAAAGAUCAAUAUUCGUCUAUUUAUAAUACAACUUCAAAUCUAAAUUUUGAAUCUUUUCAAUGUGGGACUAUAUUUUAAUGGGGGAAAUAGCAAAUAUGGUCGAGCCUCAAUGAGGUCGCAUCCAACCAUUAAAUUUAGACAUUUGAAAAAAUUAAUAUACAACAUAACAUAUACAAAUAUAAAAAAUAUAUAUUUAGAUAUUUUUAUUUCUGUUCAGAAUUAUUUUAUCACACAUGUCGUUGGAAAGCUUUUGACGUCGGCCACACGAAUAUAAUUUAUUAUUAUUAUUAUUAUCGAAUCAAUCGUAAAUUUAUUCUGUAAGCUUUCCGUUUUAUUUUAAUUCGAAUUAGUUUGAUUGUUAAAUUAUUAAUUUGAUUGUUAAAUUUUCAUUUUGUUAAAAUUUGACAUCUCAAAUCAAAUAAAUAAGGAUAUUUAAAUUAUAUUAAAUACAUCUCAAAUCAAAUAAAUAAGAACAUUUAAAUUAUAUUAAAUGAGAAUAUUUCAAAUUAUGGAGGGUGAAUCAUGGAGCAAUCAUCGAUUUAAUAUGCAAAUCAUCGAUUCUCUCAUGCCGUACGAUUAUUCGGUUCGAUGAAAUGUGCACUAGGUAUUGGGAUUACCUUACCAUUUCAUUCUAGAAAUGUACAUAUCCAGAUUGAAGGAGGAGAUUCAAGCUGAUGUGAUCUUAGCAAAGCCUGGGGACAUAUAUGAAGCAUUUGAAAUGUCUCUAAUGAUUGAGGCAAGGCAGGGAGGUGGAAAAACUAUCACAUACAAAUCCUAUACUCAAAAAUAGGCCAAGGUAACUAAUUAUUUUGCUCCACAGCAAAAUAAAUCCGAAAUUGACACUGGGAAACAGAGCACUUCAACCACAACAAAAUUACCAGUAACUAAAAGGCUAUCGACUACUGAAAGGGCAGAGAGAAGAGAAAAGGGACUUUGCUUCAACUGCGAUGAAAAAAUUUCAGCAAACCACAAUAGUGUUUAUGCAGGCAGAAAAGGAAAAUUAUUCAGAUUAGAUAUGCUGAACAGAUAGAAUUGUUUGAAAUAGAAGACCAAGAUGAUAUUGAAAAGCCAGAAGAGGAAGUUGUCAAUGAUAAUGUCAUUAGAGGAAGAACUGAAAUUUCAUUACAUGCCUUUGAGGGCAAUAUAAAUUUCACAGUACUAUCAGGGUGAUGGGAUGCAUAAAAAAUGAGUCAGUGAGUGUACUUAUCGAUUCUGGUUCCAGCCAUAAUUUCAUGCAGGUUGAUGUUGUUGUGGCACUGAAAUUGAUAAUUCAGAUGAUCAAUUCAUUCUAUGUUUCAACAAGAAGUGGGGAGAAGCUGGUCUGCAAUAAGAUGUGCAAGGAUACAGAGGUAAAAAUCCAAGAUAAUACAAUUAAAAUGGAUAUCUUUCUCAUUCAUAUGGCAGGGUCCAACAUGGUGAUUGGAGUGCAAGCAUUAAAGGCUUUUGGACCUGCAACCUUUGAUUUUGAGAAAUCUAUCAUUGAAUUCUGCCUAGAAGGAAAUAAAGUAAUACGGUCGGGAUUACCAUGGGUUUCUGAGGAUCCACUUACUGUUGGACAGCUCAAGUGUUUAAUUGCAACUACUCAAGAAGCUUACUUAUUCUAUUUAGAAAGAAUAGACAACAGUGAUCCAAUUGAAGUUUUAGAUAAUAAAAUUCCUGAAAUUACUAAUGUCAUUUAGGAAUUCUGUGAUUUGUUUGAAGAUCUAUAUGGUCUACCACCAGAGAGGGAAAAAAAUCAUCCCAUUUACUUGCCAACCAGGAGCUCAACCUGUAAAUGUUAGACCCUACAGAUACCCACAAUUUCAGAAAUAUGAAAUCGAGAAGUUAAUUGCUGAAAUGUUAAAACAGGGCAUCAUCAAACAUAGUUCAAGCCCAUAUUCUUCUCCAGUUCUACUAGUGAAGAAAAAGGAUGGAGGAUACAGGUUGUUUGUCGAUUAUAGAGCCAUAAAUGCUCUAACAGUAAAGGACAAGUACCCAAUACCCACUGUUGAUGAAUUACUUGGGGAAUUGAAAGGGUCAUCUAUUUACUCAAAAUUAGACUUGAGAUCAGGAUUCUACCAUAUCAGGAUGGACCCCAAUCAUACUGAGAGGAUAGACUUUAGAACUCAUCAAGGGCACUUUGAGUUCCUUGUGAUGCCUUUUGGCCUCACAAAUGCCCCAACCACCUUUCAGUCAGUUAUGAAUUCAAUCUUCUCAGAUUAUUUAAGGAAAUUGGUAAUUGUUUUCUUUGAUGACAUAUUAGUUUACAGUGCUACUACAAAGGAUCACAUUGAGCAUCUGAAAAUUAUCUUUGAGCUGUUGAGAUCAAAUAAAUUAAUUGUCAAGUUAUCUAAAUGUUCCUUUGGAAGGGAUUCUAUGUCUUUCCUUGGGCACAUUAUAGCUGUGGAUGGAGUCCAUCCUGAUCUAGAAAAGAUUAAAGCCAUGGUAGAUUGGCCUAAACCCAAAAAUCUGAAAAUGCUAAGGGUUUUUUUGGGACUCACGGGGUACUAUAGAAGAUUCAUCAAAGGAUAUGCAACUAUAGCAAUACCUAUGACAGACCUCUUAAAAAUGGAUAAUUUCCAUUGGGGAGAAGAGGCUACACAAAGCUUUGAAAAUCUCAAAUCUUCCAUGACUACAACUCCUGUCCUUGUAUUUCCAGACUUUGAACUUUAGUUUACAGAAGAAACAAAUGCUUGCAGAAAUGGCAUUGGGGCUGUACUUAGCCAAAAUGCACACCCUAUUAGUUUUUUCAGUGUUAAAUUAUCUGGUAGGAUCAAGGCAGCUUCUGUUUAUAUUAAAGAAAUGUAUGUCAUUACUCAAGCUGUGAGUAAAUGGAAACAUUACUUAUUGGGAUCUCAUUUUAUCAUUAAGACAGAUCACAGGAAUCUGAAAAUUUUAUUAACUCAAGUGAUUCAAACUCAUGAACAACAAGUUUUCCUAUGCAAAUUAUUGGGUUUUGAUUUUUCUAUAGUUUAUAAACUUGGAAAGGAAAAUUUAGCAGCAGAUGCACUAUCAAGAAAGUUUGAAGAAGAAAAAGAAGAAGUGUUGUUUUCAUUAGACUCAACAGGACUGCCUGGCUCACUUCUAUCACUAUCUAAGCCUAUAUAUACUCUGCUGGAGGAAAUAAAAAUAGAAAAUCUUAAUAAUCUCAAUACUCGGGCACUGAUAGAGAAAUAUGUUGAAGUGGGAGAAGGUUCUAUGGGAUUUAGAGUGAAAAAUAACAUGAUGAUUUUCAAAGACAAAUAUUAUAUCUGAAGAUUCUAUUUUGAUAAAAAAAAAAUUUACAAGAAUUUCAUGAUUCUCAGUUAGGAGGUCACUCUGGGGUACACAGAACUUGGAAAAAACUGGCAAAAUAUUUUUAUUGGCCGAAGAUGGUAGUCCAUGUUAAAAAAUAUGUCAAAGAAUGCACUAUUUGCCAACAAGUUAAACCUUCUAACACAAAACCUGUAGGAUUACUAAUGCCACUGCCCAUCCCUUCACAAGUAUGGUAGGAUAUCAGCAUGGAUUUCAUCACUGACCUUCCAAAAGUUAGAGGGAAAUCUAUAGUUAUGGUGGUUGUAGACAUAUUAUCAAAGUAUGCUCAUUUUAGUGCACUCUCACCUAAAUUUAAUGCUUCUAUGGUGGCUGAAAUAUUUACACAGGAUAUGGUUAAAUUGCAUGGGAUUCUAAGCUCCAUUGUAUCAGACAGGGAUAGGGUUUUCACAUCUAUGUUCUGGAAGGAAUUAAAUACACUCAGUGGCACUAAGCUAAAUUUUUCUUCCGCAUAUCACCCACAAAGAUGGGCAAACCGAAGUGGUGAACAGAACAUUAGAAAUGUAUUUAAGGCCAUAUUAUCAUGAGAAUCCAUCUAAGUGGCUAAAACUAUUGCCAUGCGCUGAGUUAUGGUACAACUCCACCAGUUACCAUUCUUCUAUUGGUACGAGCCCAUUCAAGGUGUUAUAUGGAAGAGAGGCUACUGAAAUCCCUCAUUAUGAGGAAGGACAAUCAUCUAUUCAAGUUGUUGAUAUCACCUUACAAAUGAGAGAAGAAGUUCUAGAUAGAAUUAAAACAAACCUCAGGGUGGCACAGGAGAGAAUGAAACACCAAGCUGACAAGAAGAGAUCAGAACUGAAAUUUCAGGUAGGAGAGUGGGUAUUAGUGCAGCUCAAACCCUACAGACAAAUAUCAAUCGCUCACAGACUACAUAACAAAUUUUGAAAAAAGUAUUUUGGGCCAUUUGAGAUAAUUAAGGUGAUAAAUGAGGUAGCUUACCGCUUAAAAUUACCUGAAGGCAGUAAGAUCCAUCCCACAUUUCAUGUAUCAAAAUUGAAGAAAUAUUGGGGAUCAAUUCAUGAAGACAAGUUAGAGGAACAACCUAUCAUUUCUGUGGAAAAUAAGCCAAUAUUAUACCCUACUGCAUUACUAGGUAAAAGAACUAUUUUUCAGGGAGGAAAACAGAAAAAAAAAAAAAACAAAUCCUGGUAUCCUGGAACGGAUCAAUACCUGAAGACGCCUCAUGGGAGUUGGAAGACGAGUUGCUGAAGAUCUUCCCUAAUAUCAACAUUGAGGGCAAUGUUGAAUCCAGAGAAGGUGGUGAUGAUGCGUGGGUGAUCCACUACAAAGACAUACAUGGUGACAUCCAGAAGAUUUGAGACGACACGACUUCAGAAGGUGACCUAGAAGUGGAAGUUGAGGAAGACGACGACGGCUCACCACAACUCAACGAGACUGAACCGCCCACGAACCCAAGGGAGAAGAGGCAAACCCGGCCCCCAGCCUAG